UUGAUCCUGGCUCAGGAUGAACGCUAGCGGCAGGCUUAACACAUGCAAGUCGAGGGGUAUAAUUCUUCGGAUUUAGAGACCGGCGCACGGGUGCGUAACGCGUAUGCAAUCUACCUUUUACAGAGGGAUAGCCCAGAGAAAUUUGGAUUAAUACCUCAUAGCAUUGCAGAAUGGCAUCAUUCAGCAAUUAAAGUCACAACGGUAAAAGAUGAGCAUGCGUCCCAUUAGCUUGUUGGUAAGGUAACGGCUUACCAAGGCUACGAUGGGUAGGGGUCCUGAGAGGGAGAUCCCCCACACUGGUACUGAGACACGGACCAGACUCCUACGGGAGGCAGCAGUGAGGAAUAUUGGUCAAUGGACGCAAGUCUGAACCAGCCAUGCCGCGUGCAGGAUGACGGUCCUAUGGAUUGUAAACUGCUUUUGUACAGGAAGAAACACUACUUCGUGAAGUAGCUUGACGGUACUGUAAGAAUAAGGAUCGGCUAACUCCGUGCCAGCAGCCGCGGUAAUACGGAGGAUCCAAGCGUUAUCCGGAAUCAUUGGGUUUAAAGGGUCCGUAGGCGGUUUAGUAAGUCAGUGGUGAAAGCCCAUCGCUCAACGGUGGAACGGCCAUUGAUACUGCUAGACUUGAAUUAUUAGGAAGUAACUAGAAUAUGUAGUGUAGCGGUGAAAUGCUUAGAGAUUACAUGGAAUACCAAUUGCGAAGGCAGGUUACUACUAAUGGAUUGACGCUGAUGGACGAAAGCGUGGGUAGCGAACAGGAUUAGGUACCCUGGUAGUCCACGCCGUAAACGAUGGAUACUAGCUGUUGGAAGCAAUUUCAGUGGCUAAGCGAAAGUGAUAAGUAUCCCACCUGGGGAGUACGUUCGCAAGAAUGAAACUCAAAUGAAUUGACGG
Molecule: ribosomal RNA, 897 nt
Filed under: uncultured bacterium
Lineage: Bacteria
Description: bacterial SSU rRNA
Rfam family: Bacterial small subunit ribosomal RNA
Source: RNAcentral